UACAGAGGUCUCAAGCGUUGUUCGGAUUCAUUGGGCGUAAAGGGUGCGUAGGUGGCUCGGUAAGUCGGGUGUGAAAUUUCGGAGCUUAACUCCGAAACUGCAUUCGAUACUGCCGUGCUUGAGGACUGGAGAGGAGACUGGAAUUUACGGUGUAGCAGUGAAAUGCGUAGAGAUCGUAAGGAAGACCAGUGGCGAAGGCGGGUCUCUGGACAGUUCCUGACACUGAGGCACGAAGGCCAGGGGAGCAAACGGG
Molecule: ribosomal RNA, 253 nt
Filed under: uncultured bacterium
Lineage: Bacteria
Description: partial 16S ribosomal RNA
Rfam family: Bacterial small subunit ribosomal RNA
Source: RNAcentral